GAGUUUGAUCAUGGCUCAGGACGAACGCUGGCGGCGUGCCUAAUACAUGCAAGUCGAGCGAAUUGAUGGGAGCUUGCUCCCUGAUAUUAGCGGCGGACGGGUGAGUAAUGCCUAGGAAUCUGCCUGAUAGUGGGGGACAACGUUUCGAAAGGAACGCUAAUACCGCAUACGUCCUACGGGAGAAAGCAGGGGACCUUCGGGCCUUGCGCUAUCAGAUGAGCCUAGGUCGGAUUAGCUAGUAGGUGAGGUAAUGGCUCACCUAGGCGACGAUCCGUAACUGGUCUGAGAGGAUGAUCAGUCACACUGGAACUGAGACACGGUCCAGACUCCUACGGGAGGCAGCAGUGGGGAAUAUUGGACAAUGGGCGAAAGCCUGAUCCAGCCAUGCCGCGUGUGUGAAGAAGGUCUUCGGAUUGUAAAGCACUUUAAGUGGGAGGAAGGGCUGCAAGUUAAUACCUUGUAGUUUUGACGUUACCAACAGAAUAAGC
This 488-nucleotide ribosomal RNA is filed under the name uncultured Gammaproteobacteria bacterium. RNAcentral's name for it is "bacterial SSU rRNA". It matches the Rfam family "Bacterial small subunit ribosomal RNA", at positions 9 to 491 of the family's 1533-position model. The record is from RNAcentral. Lineage: Bacteria; Pseudomonadati; Pseudomonadota; Gammaproteobacteria. RNAcentral also lists the same sequence under 1 other name.